This 484-nucleotide ribosomal RNA is filed under the name uncultured bacterium. RNAcentral's name for it is "partial 16S ribosomal RNA". It matches the Rfam family "Bacterial small subunit ribosomal RNA", at positions 28 to 507 of the family's 1533-position model. The record is from RNAcentral.
AUUGAACGCUGGCGGCAUGCUUUACACAUGCAAGUCGAACGGCAGCGCGGGCUUCGGUCUGGCGGCGAGUGGCGAACGGGUGAGUAAUGCAUCGGAACGUGCCCAGUAGUGGGGGAUAGCCCGGCGAAAGCCGGAUUAAUACCGCAUACGACCUGAGGGUGAAAGCGGGGGACCGAAAGGCCUCGCGCUUUUGGAGCGGCCGAUGUCGGAUUAGCUAGUUGGUGGGGUAAAGGCUUACCAUGGCGACGAUCCGUAGCUGGUCUGAGAGGACGACCAGCCACACUGGGACUGAGACACGGCCCAGACUCCUACGGGAGGCAGCAGUGGGGAAUUUUGGACAAUGGGGGCAAGCCUGAUCCAGCCAUGCCGCGUGCGGGAAGAAGGCCUUCGGGUUGUAAACCGCUUUUGUUCGGGAAGAAAUCCUCUGGGCUAAUACCCCGGGGGGAUGACGGUACCGGAAGAAUAAGCACCGGCUAACUACGUG